UUGCAGUGCUAGUCACCAGACUGAGGGACUCAGGACAGGGAAAUCUGUCCCUGUGCUCUGGGGUAAUAGAUACGGCUGGAAAAGGGAUGCCUACAGCACAGCUUGCUCCCCCCGCCCCUUUAAAAGCACGAUAAAAUGGGAUGUCCCAUUCAGUUUCCUGGUCAGUAAUAUCAGUUAUUUCCUAAUAGGUAAAAAGGUCUUUCAUAACUCUACGGGCCAACAUGUAACCCCCAGAAGCCUCACAUUUCAAGAGAUUACUAAGUGAUACUCAGGAUAUCUACAAAGAUUCCUUCAUUCACUCAACUCUAAAUUUAGAUCUUUACAAAGUUUACUAAAUCCGGAGAACAACCGUUUCUAUAGCAUGGGUGCCAGCGUCUUGGUGGACACAAAUCAGAAUCCCAAUGGUUCAUUUUUUCCCGGGACAGAAAACCAUGACGGGCUUCGCACCCUGAAAAUGUUGGAAGAGGGUCCUGCGCUGCAUACGGUACUGGUCGCUCCAGGAAAGGUGAAUCUGGGGCAGAAAACUGCAGGCAGGACUCACAGCAGUUAUCAGCCCCCGCAAGACGAACCCCAGACCUUUCAAAAAGCCAAACCACCCUGCAAAGUGGCAACUGAAAGGCAUUUGUGGGGAGUGGCUGUCAGAGAGCAAUUGCCGCCGUUUGUUGCUAGCACACUAAUUAAGCUGCUCCGCACGCAAAGUUAAAGCGCUCAGAUCCACGAUCUGGCUCAUUUUCCAAACUGGUUACGUCGGGGUCAUGGUAACACUAGGCAGGCGGGAGCCCGGAGCGAGCCAAGAGCACCGACUCCGACCCGGUUGGGCGCCUUCCGCCCCGCAGCUGCAUUCUCCAAAAGUUAUUUUUUCUUUGAAAAGGGCACUUGAAACUCCCAGUGGCUUGGAGCCCUUGAGCAUCGAGGCCACAGGCACCAGAGAUGAGGGGACCGGGGGCGCGGUAGGCUGGGGGCCAGGGGAAGGCGCCACAAGGGUGCUUCCCAGGAAGUAAGGGUCCCCGACUCCACGAAGACGUCCUCACCCCAGAGGAGCCCUCACGGGGGCUCCUUCUCCGGGAUCGGGGGCCUCUCCCGAGGGGGCGCCAAGCUGAGGCCGAACCCGCGUCCUGGACGCCCGGGCGAGGCGGGCACAGGGACCCAGAGAGAGACCCCAGACCACGUGGCCGGUUCCGGCGUCGGGCCGGUCCGAAGACACUCACCAAGUCGCACACCGCGUCGGAAAAGGGAGGGCGCUGGAGAGACGAAGUUUAAAAGGGGCUUGGGCGGUCGGCACCCUGAGGCAACCAACCAAAAAUUACCCCCAGCGCCCCUCCCGGCCUAGUAACCGCCCCGCCUGCGCCGCCCAGAGGCUCGCGCGCGCCCCCUGCCGGCGACUCACGUACCCCAGCCCUGGCCUCGGAGCCGGUGGACUCAGCACGCUUGCCUGAACACCUCUCUGUGUGGGUGUUCAUUUAUACCACGCUGCAGGUUUGAUGAAGCUCCUGGCAUCAAAUCAAAUAAUGUUAGCCUGUACAGUGGAGAAUCCCUGUUCUCCAUCAUACUCCUGUCUAGAAGCAAACGGAAGGUCUUCCAUGGGGAGCUCUGUGGAUGUGACCUGGCCACUGUUUCCAAAAGGACGAGGAGAGGAACACUUGCAGGUGCACAAUAAAACACGGGUAAGGAUAAAGUGCGUUCCAGGCUGAAGGAAGUCCCAAAGCACUGCCUCGGGCAUCCCAUAAUCAGCAAACCCCAGCGAUUCCUAAAACUUAGGAAAGUAAA
Molecule: long non-coding RNA, 1767 nt
Organism: Acinonyx jubatus (cheetah)
Lineage: Eukaryota; Metazoa; Chordata; Mammalia; Carnivora; Felidae
Exons: 3
Source: RefSeq, a predicted model, not a curated record